AGAAUCUUAACAAAAAAUUACCACUUGUUUUCGUUUGAUAAUUGGUAUGACCAUAAAUAAGUUAGAGACAAUUUCGUGUUUUUAUUUUUUUCAUUUUUCUUUUAUUUUUAUUUUUUCUCUCUACAAUAAUUAUAUUCAAAAUCAUCCAUAAAUCACCCAUCCAAAUGAUUUAUUUCAAAAAUAGCAAGCGUCAUCCAAAUCUC
Molecule: long non-coding RNA, 203 nt
Filed under: Linum usitatissimum (flax)
Lineage: Eukaryota; Viridiplantae; Streptophyta; Magnoliopsida; Malpighiales; Linaceae
Description: long non-coding RNA (LUSI_LNC005741)
Source: RNAcentral